UGCGACCCUUUUCCUGUCUACCUGGCCAGUGCAUCUGAGUGUGUUUUCUUCCUGCCACUGUCACCUGGCAGCUCAGGGAUGUGAGAUUCUCCUCCAUUACAUUUCCACCCAUGGAUAAAAGACGUGAGAUCACACGUCAGUACCUUUGGAAAUAAAAGCAACCAGGAAACAAA
Long non-coding RNA from Gopherus evgoodei (Goodes thornscrub tortoise), 173 nucleotides. RefSeq lists it as uncharacterized. The record is from RefSeq and is a predicted model, not a curated record. NCBI's taxonomy places the organism in Eukaryota, Metazoa, Chordata, Testudines, Testudinidae. The transcript has 2 exons.